CCGUACACAAAAGCGCAUGUGCUGUGAGCUCGAUGAGUAGGGCGGGACACGUGGUAUCCUGUCUGAAUAUGGGGGGACCAUCCUCCAAGGCUAAAUACUCCUGACUGACCGAUAGUGAACCAGUACCGUGAGGGAAAGGCGAAAAGAACCCCGGCGAGGGGAGUGAAAAAGAACCUGAAACCGUGUACGUACAAGCAGUGGGAGCACAGGUUUACCUGUGUGACUGCGUACCUUUUGUAUAAUGGGUCAGCGACUUAUAUUCUGUAGCAAGGUUAACCGUAUAGGGGAGCCGGAGGGAAACCGAGUCUUAAUUGGGCGUUAAGUUGCAGGGUAUAGACCCGAAACCCGGUGAUCUAGCCAUGGGCAGGUUGAAGGUUGGGUAACACUAACUGGAGGACCGAACCGACUAAUGUUGAAAAAUUAGCGGAUGACCUGUGGCUGGGGGUGAAAGGCCAAUCAAACCGGGAGAUAGCUGGUUCUCCCCGAAAGCUAUUUAGGUAGCGCCUCGUGAAUUCAUCUCCGGGGGUAGAGCACUGUUUCGGCUAGGGGGCCAUCCCGGCUUACCAACCCGAUGCAAACUGCGAAUACCGGAGAAUGUUAUCACGGGAGACACACGGCGGGUGCUAACGUCCGUCGUGAAGAGGGAAACAACCCAGACCGCCAGCUAAGGUCCCAAAGUCAUGGUUAAGUGGGAAACGAUGUGGGAAGGCCCAGACAGCCAGGAUGUUGGCUUAGAAGCAGCCAUCAUUUAAAGAAAGCGUAAUAGCUCACUGGUCGAGUCGGCCUGCGCGGAAGAUGUAACGGGGCUAAACCAUGCACCGAAGCUGCGGCAGCGAACGUAUCACCCAAGACAACUUUACGGAGUUGACGAUUGACGGAGCGAAGCGACGUCAAAGCGUUCAUUAAAGUCGAGUUGGCUUAGGGAUACGUUCGUUGGGUAGGGGAGCGUUCUGUAAGCCUGUGAAGGUGUGUCGUGAGGCAUGCUGGAGGUAUCAGAAGUGCGAAUGCUGACAUAAGUAACGAUAAAGCGGGUGAAAAGCCCGCUCGCCGGAAGACCAAGGGUUCCUGUCCAACGUUAAUCGGGGCAGGGUGAGUCGACCCCUAAGGCGAGGCCGAAAGGCGUAGUCGAUGGGAAACGGGUUAAUAUUCCCGUACUUGGUGUUACUGCGAAGGGGGGACGGAGAAGGCUAUGUUGGCCGGGCGACGGUUGUCCCGGUUUAAGCGUGUAGGUGUGUGUUCCAGGUAAAUCCGGUUCACUUUAACACUGAGGCGUGACGACGAGGCACUACGGUGCUGAAGCAACAAAUGCCCUGCUUCCAGGAAAAGCCUCUAAGCAUCAGGUAACAUCAAAUCGUACCCCAAACCGACACAGGUGGUCAGGUAGAGAAUACCAAGGCGCUUGAGAGAACUCGGGUGAAGGAACUAGGCAAAAUGGUGCCGUAACUUCGGGAGAAGGCACGCUGACACGUAGGUGAAGUGAUUUACUCAUGGAGCUGAAGUCAGUCGAAGAUACCAGCUGGCUGCAACUGUUUAUUAAAAACACAGCACUGUGCAAACACGAAAGUGGACGUAUACGGUGUGACGCCUGCCCGGUGCCGGAAGGUUAAUUGAUGGGGUCAGCGCAAGCGAAGCUCCUGAUCGAAGCCCCGGUAAACGGCGGCCGUAACUAUAACGGUCCUAAGGUAGCGAAAUUCCUUGUCGGGUAAGUUCCGACCUGCACGAAUGGCGUAAUGAUGGCCAGGCUGUCUCCACCCGAGACUCAGUGAAAUUGAACUCGCUGUGAAGAUGCAGUGUACCCGCGGCAAGACGGAAAGACCCCGUGAACCUUUACUAUAGCUUGACACUGAACAUUGAGCCUUGAUGUGUAGGAUAGGUGGGAGGCUUUGAAGUGUGGACGCCAGUCUGCAUGGAGCCGACCUUGAAAUACCACCCUUUAAUGUUUGAUGUUCUAACGUGGACCCGUAAUCCGGGUUGCGGACAGUGUCUGGUGGGUAGUUUGACUGGGGCGGUCUCCUCCUAAAGAGUAACGGAGGAGCACGAAGGUUGGCUAAUCCUGGUCGGACAUCAGGAGGUUAGUGCAAUGGCAUAAGCCAGCUUGACUGCGAGCGUGACGGCGCGAGCAGGUGCGAAAGCAGGUCAUAGUGAUCCGGUGGUUCUGAAUGGAAGGGCCAUCGCUCAACGGAUAAAAGGUACUCCGGGGAUAACAGGCUGAUACCGCCCAAGAGUUCAUAUCGACGGCGGUGUUUGGCACCUCGAUGUCGGCUCAUCACAUCCUGGGGCUGAAGUAGGUCCCAAGGGUAUGGCUGUUCGCCAUUUAAAGUGGUACGCGAGCUGGGUUUAGAACGUCGUGAGACAGUUCGGUCCCUAUCUGCCGUGGGCGCUGGAGAACUGAGGGGGGCUGCUCCUAGUACGAGAGGACCGGAGUGGACGCAUCACUGGUGUUCGGGUUGUCAUGCCAAUGGCACUGCCCGGUAGCUAAAUGCGGAAGAGAUAAGUGCUGAAAGCAUCUAAGCACGAAACUUGCCCCGAGAUGAGUUCUCCCUGAGACUUAGAGUCUCCUGAAGGAACGUUGAAGACGACGACGUUGAUAGG
RNAcentral lists this ribosomal RNA (2592 nucleotides) under Salmonella enterica subsp. enterica serovar Typhimurium. RNAcentral describes it as "partial 23S ribosomal RNA". It matches the Rfam family "Bacterial large subunit ribosomal RNA", at positions 373 to 2860 of the family's 2925-position model. Lineage: Bacteria; Pseudomonadati; Pseudomonadota; Gammaproteobacteria; Enterobacterales; Enterobacteriaceae. The record is from RNAcentral.